AUGAACGCUGGCGGCGUGCCUAAUACAUGCCAGUCGCGCGAACAGACGAGGAGCUUGCUCCUCUGACGUUAGCGGCGGACGGGUGAGUAACACGUGGAUAACCUACCUAUAAGACUGGGAUAACUUCGGGAAACCGGAGCUAAUACCGGAUAAUAUAUUGAACCGCAUGGUUCAAUAGUGAAAGACGGUUUUGCUGUCACUUAUAGAUGGAUCCGCGCCGCAUUAGCUAGUUGGUAAGGUAACGGCUUACCAAGGCAACGAUGCGUAGCCGACCUGAGAGGGUGAUCGGCCACACUGGAACUGAGACACGGUCCAGACUCCUACGGGAGGCAGCAGUAGGGAAUCUUCCGCAAAGGGCGAAAGCCUGACGGAGCAACGCCGCGUGAGUGAUGAAGGUCUUCGGAUCGUAAAACUCUGUUAUUAGGGAAGAACAAAUGUGUAAGUAACUAUGCACGUCUUGACGGUACCUAAUCAGAAAGCCACGGCUAACUACGUG
Molecule: ribosomal RNA, 496 nt
Filed under: uncultured bacterium
Lineage: Bacteria
Description: partial 16S ribosomal RNA
Rfam family: Bacterial small subunit ribosomal RNA
Source: RNAcentral